This 301-nucleotide ribosomal RNA is filed under the name uncultured bacterium. Its description in RNAcentral is "partial 16S ribosomal RNA". It matches the Rfam family "Bacterial small subunit ribosomal RNA", at positions 509 to 807 of the family's 1533-position model. The record is from RNAcentral.
CAGUCGCCACGGUAAUACAUAGGGUGCGAGCGUUAAUCGGAUUUACUGGGCGUAAAGCGUGCGUAGGCGGCUUCUUAAGUCGGAUGUGAAAUCCCUGAGCUUAACUUAGGAAUUGCAUUCGAUACUGGGAAGCUAGAGUAUGGGAGAGGAUGGUAGAAUUCCAGGUGUAGCGGUGAAAUGCGUAGAGAUCUGGAGGAAUACCGAUGGCGAAGGCAGCCAUCUGGCCUAAUACUGACGCUGAGGUACGAAAGCAUGGGGAGCAAACAGGAUUAGAUACCCCUGUAGUCCCUGUCUCUUAUAC